AACCUACCCCACCUUCCUCCACCAGCCGCCAAUCGCCGCGAAGGGCUCCGCCCGUCUUGCCAAUCACAACCGAGAAAGGGGGUGGCCUUAACGCCCAAGUGGGCGGGGGAGAGAGGAAGUUUGGUUGAACUGUGCCAUCGCCGCAGUGCAGCAUCCGUAUUCGUGAAAGUCGUUACGCCACGUCGUUGGCGAUAGGGUCUAGGAGGUAAGGGAAAUUUGCGCAAGUGGCGUACCCGGUUAAUGGCGGAAGCUUGGAUGCUUCUUGCAGUCGCUGUUAGCUCCUGUGCUUCAGCCAUCAGAGAGCCCCACUUCUAAAGGCCUAGAGUUGGGAGGGAAAGGGGGGGACACGAGAUGAGGAGAGAAGGGAAUGGAAAACCUGCAAAACAUGGGAGAAGCAAAAGCAGAUAAAGUAGAAGAGAUGAAGUGAGUAUAACAGAAGAGCAACUUUGUACUGUUGACUACUCAACAGCAGGUUUGAUGAGAGCAGUGGCAUAUUUGGAAGAAUGUAUUUAUGCUGUGAAGAGGGAGACAUAAGCCAGCAAGUUUGCCAGGAAAGUGUUGCGAAGAGGCUUGGACUCACCUUACUUUGUGCAGCUGAGAGAUUCACCUAACUGACGCCUGACUCUGUUUUGGCUCUCUUGUGUUCAGAUUACAUUUUAAUUUUGUAGUGAUGGCUAGAUACUGUGAUUUUGACCUUGUUUGCUUUUUUUUGUGUGAAUUCAAGUCAUCAUAAGAAUGAAGUGCUGCACAGUUACAACGCUAAUUAGCUAGAUGGGGUGGAAGAAGUCUUACUGUGUUGAGGUCUAGGAUUGUUUAACUGUUAACGACUUCUGGAUUUAUUUUUCUGUAGACUACCAGAUAGGUUACCAUCUGUGCCACAAGGAUACAUGAUUAUUCAGUGUAGUCUUUGUCUUCCCUCUGACUAUUAAAAAAUGUAUUUGCCUAUUCCUCCAAAAUUCAGGCUGUAUUGUAUAACAUAGAAUCAUAGAAUAGUUAGGGUUGGAAAGGACCUUAAGAUCAUCCCUGAUAUGUGUUUUGGAUGCCUGUAUGCUUUGUGAUAGAUGAACUAAUAUUGGUACUUCAGUUUUUCCAUCUUUGUAAUAAUGUGUCAGUAGUCUUGGAAAGUCAUUGAUGUUGAAGUUUUGGAUUUCUGCCCUGUGAAGCACUAGCAGUAAAGCUAUAAGCUGCAUGAAAAUAUUGAUUUGGAUGCUCUUAUUAACUAGGAGAGUAUUUUUUUGAAAGGUGUUUUUGCUGAGAAUUGAAGUAAUUUGUGUGGUGAUGGUUUACAAUAGAGCUUUGCACUGAAAUAGUGCAAAAAACCUGCCCAAACCCCUAGUUGAAUGACUUCAGGAGUCCAAGAUAUGUGGCAAAAGUAGCCUGUAUGAAAGGGAACAUCCUAGUCCCAUGAGAUGCAUGUGGGAGAAAUUAAAAAUAUAACAGUAAAUAUAUUGUGGGUGGUAUGACCUAAUAAAAUACAGCUGAGUAAUAUAAAGCUGUCUGAUGUAGUACCGUUCCUGACAGGUGAUAGUGAAGUGAAGGCAGAGGGUCACCUACUGUGAUUGACAGAAGAGAUGGCCUGGAGAUUCAGACAGCAAAGUCAAGCAGAGCAAAAGAUAGCAACAACAACAAAAAUCUGUGUAACAGCUCUUCUUCCUUCGACCCAUGCUGGCUGAUUUUUUUGGAAGAGGAAAUGGGAUGAUGCAUCUCCUUCCUUUUUGGGAAGGCUGUCACCUGCUGCAGCUCUGGACUUCUUUUAUCCUAAAGGUUAGAGAGUACAAAAUGGGGAGUAUUACUUCCUCUGUCUUGGGGCAGAUUUUAUGUUAAAUGGUCCCUUUUCUUAGAAAUCUUAAUGCAUCAGUAUCUAUGAAAAAUUGUAUACUCUGUGGUAUAACAGUUUCAGAUUUAUGCUCAGAUAUAUGUAAAUAGCAAAUAGCAUUAUGCCUUUGUGUAUACUAGAAAUACUGCCUACUAGUUUGUAGUCAGUGGAAUUCAACUACUUGCAGAUAAUAAUUUAUAGGAACUGCUCUGAAGAAUCAACAUGUUUGCCUAUAACCCAUUCCAAAACAAUAAACAGAGUUGACUUCCUUCUUUGAA
Strigops habroptila (Kakapo) is the source of this 2094-nucleotide long non-coding RNA. RefSeq lists it as uncharacterized. The record is from RefSeq and is a predicted model, not a curated record. The transcript is spliced from 4 exons. NCBI's taxonomy places the organism in Eukaryota, Metazoa, Chordata, Aves, Psittaciformes, Psittacidae.